This 124-nucleotide small RNA is filed under the name Marmota monax (woodchuck). The record is from RNAcentral. Lineage: Eukaryota; Metazoa; Chordata; Mammalia; Rodentia; Sciuridae.
GCCGGGUGUGGUGACACACACCUGUCGUCCUAGCAGCUCGGGAGGCUGAGGCAGGAGGAUGGUGAGUUCAAAGCCAGCCUCAGCAAAGCGAGGUACUAAGCAACUCAGGGAGACCCUGUCUCUA